Molecule: ribosomal RNA, 1766 nt
Filed under: Musa schizocarpa
Lineage: Eukaryota; Viridiplantae; Streptophyta; Magnoliopsida; Zingiberales; Musaceae
Description: SSU rRNA
Rfam family: Eukaryotic small subunit ribosomal RNA
Source: RNAcentral
CCUGGUUGAUCCUGCCAGUAGUCAUAUGCUUGUCUCAAAGAUUAAGCCAUGCAUGUCUAAGUACAUACUGUUUAUAAAGUGAAACCGCGAAUGGCUCAUUAAAUCAGUUAUAGUUUGUUUGAUAGUACGCGGCUACCGGAUAACCGUAGUAAUUCUAGAGCUAAUACGCGCAACAAACCCCCACUUCCGGAAGGGAUGCAUUUAUUAGAUAAAAGGCUGACGGGCUUUGCCCGCUGCUCCUAUGAUUCAUGAUAACUCGACGGAUCACACGGCCCUCGCCGUCGCGACGUGAUCAUUCAAAUUUCUGCCCUAUCAACUUUCGAUGGUAGGAUAGGGGCCUACCAUGGUGGUGAAGGGUGACGGAGAAUUAGGGUUCGAUUCCGGAGAGGGAGCCCGAGAAACGGCUACCACAUCCAAGGAAGGCAGCAGCGCCAAGAAAUUACCCAUUUCAUUACACGGGAGGUAGUCACAAUAAAUAACAAUACCGGCUCUUCGAAGUCCGGUAAUUGAAUGAGUACACCCAAAUCCCUUAACGAGGAUCCAUGGAGGACAAGUCCGGUGCCGCCGCCGCGGUAAUUCCAGCCCAAUAGCUUAUAUUUAAGUUGUUGCGAAAAAAGCUCAGAGUUGGACUUUGGGACGGGUCGGUCGGUCUCGCUGGUGCACCGGCCGCCCCAUCCUUCUCGGUUUGGCGAUGCGUUUGGCCAUAAUCGUCGGUCGCGGCUCCUCCGGCCAAGCAUUUUGAAGAAAUUAGAGUGUUCAAAGCAAGCCCACGCCUGGAUACAUUAGCAUGGGAUAACAUCACAGAUUUCGGUCCUAUUGUGUUGGCCUUCGGAUCGGAGUAAUGAUUAAGAGGGACAAAUGGGGCAUUCAGAUUUUAUAGUCGAGGUGAAAUUUUGGAUUUAUGAAAGAUCUAACCAUCGCGAAAAGCAUUUGCCAAGGAUGUUCCAUUAAUCAAGAACGAAAGUUGGGGGCUCAAGACAAUCGAUACCGCCCUAGUCUCAACCAUAAACGAUGCCGACUUGUGGAUCGGCGGAUGUUGUUUUAGGACUCCGCCGGUACCUUAUGAGAAAUCAAAGUCUUUGGGUUCUGGGGGAGUAUGGUCGCAAGGUGAAAACUUAAAGGAAUUGACGAAGGGCACCACCAGAGUGGAGCCUGCGGGUUUAAUUUGACUCAACACGGGAAACUUACCAGGUCCAGACAUAGCAAGGAUUGACAAACCGAGAGCUUUUCUUGAUUCUAUGGGUGGUGGUACAUGGCUGUUCUUAGUUGGUGGAGCGAUUUGUCUGGUUAAUUCCGACAACUAACGAGACCUAAGCUCGCUAACUAGUUACGCGGAGGCAUCCUCCGCCAGCUUAGAGGGACUAUGGCCGUUUAGGGCCACGGAAGUUUGAGGCAAUAACAGGUCUGUGAUGCCCUUAGAUGUUUUGGGUCGCGACGCUACACCGGAUGUAUUCAACGAAGUUCAUAGCCUUGGCCGACAGUGCCCGGGUAAUCUUUGAAAAUUUCAUCAUGAUGGGGAUAGAUCAUUGCAAUUGUUGGUCUUCAACCCAGGAAUUCCUAGUAAGCGAAGUCAUCACCGCUGACUACGCCCCUCGCUUCUUUGUACACACCGCCCGCCGCUUCCUACCGAUUGAAUGGUCCGGUGAAGUGUUCGAUCGAGGCGACGGGGCGGUUCGUCGCCCGCCGACGUCGCGAGAAGUCCACUGAACCUUAUCAUUUAGAGGAAGGAGAAGUCGAAUAAGGUUUCCGAGGUGAACCCACGGAAG